This 296-nucleotide unclassified non-coding RNA is filed under the name uncultured fungus. RNAcentral describes it as "sequence contains ITS1". Lineage: Eukaryota; Fungi. The record is from RNAcentral.
UGGACUACUGGGGUUUCUAAUCCUGUUCGCUACCCAUGCUUUCGCUCCUCAGCGUCAGUUACUGCCCAGUAACCUGCCUUCGCCAUCGGUGUUCCUCCUGAUAUCCGCGCAUUUCACCGCUACACCAGGAAUUCCAGUUACCCCUACAGUACUCAAGUUAUGCCCGUAUCGCCUGCACGCCCGGAGUUAAGCCCCGGAAUUUCACAGACGACGCGACAAACCACCUACGAGCCCUUUACGCCCAGUAAUUCCGGACAACGCUCGCACCCUACGUAUUACCGCGGCUGCUGGCACAC